UGCCCAGCAACUCCUAUCCUUACCUCCACGCGGUACCGGCCGGAAACUAUGAGCAACCUUAGGGAAGAUCGGGUAACCAACCCCGGUGGGAACUUUGGUCGUAGGCUGACAGGGAAGG
Non-coding RNA from Aedes albopictus (Asian tiger mosquito), 118 nucleotides. Lineage: Eukaryota; Metazoa; Arthropoda; Insecta; Diptera; Culicidae. The record is from Rfam.